AAACCCUCACGCGCCUAGCUUCAAGUAUCCAAAGCUUCUCUAGAGUCUUCUCGCAUGAUAGGCGCCCAACGUUUAGCACCGUCCGCUUAACGAGAUCGUUCCAAUGUGAACAAAUGUUCUUUUUAUCAUUCUUCACAUAAUUGUGUUUGAAACCUGGUAUUUCACUUGGCACAUGAACUGUGAAUAGAUAGUGGAUCUGAAGUUGAACACAUGGUUCACAUACGGAGGGAUUCUCGUCCCUGUAAAGCCAUGCUCAUCACUUUUAUAACUUUCACUUUUGGAUGAUACAAGAGAAACUUUUGAG
RNAcentral lists this long non-coding RNA (304 nucleotides) under Vigna radiata. RNAcentral's name for it is "long non-coding RNA (VRAD_LNC017076)". The record is from RNAcentral. Lineage: Eukaryota; Viridiplantae; Streptophyta; Magnoliopsida; Fabales; Fabaceae.